Mauremys reevesii (Reeves's turtle) is the source of this 502-nucleotide long non-coding RNA. RefSeq lists it as uncharacterized. NCBI's taxonomy places the organism in Eukaryota, Metazoa, Chordata, Testudines, Geoemydidae. The transcript has 4 exons. The record is from RefSeq and is a predicted model, not a curated record.
GGAAGCGCCCCGGGGCAGGCUGGGAGAUGUAGUUCCUGACUCUCCCUAGACCGGAAGUGACGUGGGGGGGAGAGACCAAGCCGAGUUGCAAACGCGCGCGGGGCGCUGCGGCUCCGCCUGGCUCGCGCGGGGCCGCUGGAGCCUCUCCCGGGCCGGAGAAGGGUGUGUGACUGAGAUCAGGGCUCUUAUCGUACUGGGCGUGGCCCUGUUCUGCCAGGUGCUGCAGAGACCCCAACUGAGAUCUGGGCCCUAUUCUGCCAGGCGCUGAAGAGACCUGAGGAGAGAUUAGAUCCCGCUGUUGUGCCAGGUGCUGCAGAGACCCCAACAGAGGUCAGACACCACUGUUAUGACAGGUGCUGUGGAGCCCCCAACUGAGAUCUGCGCCCCUGUUGUGCUGGACACUGCAGAGACCCCACAGACAUCAGGUCGCCCAUUGUGCCAGGCUACAGAAUAACGUCCACGUUUCUCCCCAAAUCAUCCCCUCCAGGGGAAGGAAAUGGCU